RNAcentral lists this ribosomal RNA (450 nucleotides) under uncultured bacterium. Its description in RNAcentral is "partial 16S ribosomal RNA". It matches the Rfam family "Bacterial small subunit ribosomal RNA", at positions 354 to 796 of the family's 1533-position model. The record is from RNAcentral.
GUGGGGAAUCUUCCGCAAUGGACGAAAGUCUGACGGAGCAACGCCGCGUGAGUGAUGAAGGUCUUCGGAUUGUAAAGCUCUGUUAAUCGGGACGAAAGAGCCUAGUGUGAAUAAUGCUAGGAAGUGACGGUACCGGAAUAGAAAGCCACGGCUAACUACGUGCCAGCAGCCGCGGUAAUACGUAGGUGGCAAGCGUUGUCCGGAAUUAUUGGGCGUAAAGCGCGCGCAGGCGGAUCUGCCAGUCUGUCUGAAAAGUUCGGGGCUUAACCCCGUGAUGGGAUGGAAACUACAGAUCUAGAGUAUCGGAGAGGAAAGUGGAAUUCCUAGUGUAGCGGUGAAAUGCGUAGAUAUUAGGAAGAACACCAGUGGCGAAGGCGACUUUCUGGACGAAAACUGACGCUGAGGCGCGAAAGCUAGGGGAGCGAACGGGAUUAGAAACCCCUGUAGUCC